This is a long non-coding RNA of Symphalangus syndactylus (siamang), 242 nucleotides long. RefSeq lists it as uncharacterized. Lineage: Eukaryota; Metazoa; Chordata; Mammalia; Primates; Hylobatidae. The record is from RefSeq and is a predicted model, not a curated record.
GAUCCUGAACCAGGUGGGCCACACCAAAAUUCCUGAGCCACAGAAACUGGAAUUAACAAGAAUCCUGGCUGAGGUUGAGCAAAGGAAGACUAAGAGGUCCAAGGAGUUGAACCCAGAGAGGCAAUUUGGAAAUCAGACAAAGUGAAGCACAAAGCCAUGGAUGUUUAGAGAGAGUGAGCGGUAUGUGAGACACACUGAAAGGGUGACCCUGGCACUUCUAAGAAGGCAGCAGCACAAUGGAC